RNAcentral lists this ribosomal RNA (327 nucleotides) under uncultured eukaryote. RNAcentral describes it as "partial 18S ribosomal RNA". It matches the Rfam family "Eukaryotic small subunit ribosomal RNA", at positions 1470 to 1796 of the family's 1831-position model. The record is from RNAcentral.
CCCUUAGAUGUUCUGGGCCGCACGCGCGCUACACUGACGAAGUCAGCGAGCAUGUCCUACGCCGACAGGUGCGGGGAAUCUUGUCAAACUUCGUCGUGAUGGGGAUUGAUUAUUGAAAUUCUUGAUCAUCAACGAGGAAUUCCUAGUAAGCGCAAGUCAGCAGCUUGCGUUGAUUACGUCCCUGCCCUUUGUACACACCGCCCGUCGCACCUACCGAUUGAAUGGUCCGGUGAAAUCUUCGGAUUGAGACUUUGAUUUCUUCACGGAAAACGCUGUUUUAAGAAGUUGAUUAAACCUUACCAUUUAGAGGAAGGUGAAGUCGUAACA